UACGAGGGGUGCAAGCGUUGCUCGGAAUUAUUGGGCGUAAAGGGUGGGUAGGUGGUCUCUUUUGUCUGGGGUGAAAGCCUUGAGCUUAACUCAAGAAGUGCCCUAGAAACGGUGAGACUAGAGUUCUGGAGAGGGUCGUGGAAUUCCCGGUGUAGCGGUGAAAUGCGUAGAGAUCGGGAGGAACACCAGCGGCGAAGGCGGCGACCUGGACAGAUACUGACACUCAACUACGAAAGCGUGGGGAGCAAACAGG
RNAcentral lists this ribosomal RNA (253 nucleotides) under uncultured bacterium. RNAcentral describes it as "partial 16S ribosomal RNA". It matches the Rfam family "Bacterial small subunit ribosomal RNA", at positions 524 to 776 of the family's 1533-position model. The record is from RNAcentral.